UGGGGAAUAUUGGACAAUGGGGGCAACCCUGAUCCAGCAAUGCCGCGUGUGUGAAGAAGGUCUUCGGAUUGUAAAGCACUUUCGACGGGGACGAUGAUGACGGUACCCGUAGAAGAAGCCCCGGCUAACUUCGUGCCAGCAGCCGCGGUAAUACGAAGGGGGCUAGCGUUGCUCGGAAUGACUGGGCGUAAAGGGCGUGUAGGCGGUUUACACAGUCAGAUGUGAAAUCCCCGGGCUUAACCUGGGAGCUGCAUUUGAUACGUGUAGACUAGAGUGUGAGAGAGGGUUGUGGAAUUCCCAGUGUAGAGGUGAAAUUCGUAGAUAUUGGGAAGAACACCGGUGGCGAAGGCGGCAACCUGGCUCAUGACUGACGCUGAGGCGCGAAAGCGUGGGGAGCAAACAGGAUUAGUACCCUGGUAGUCCACGCUGUAAACGAUGUGUGCUAGAUGUUGGGUAACUUUGUUAUUCAGUGUCGCAGUUAACGCGUUAAGCACACCGCCUGGGGAGUACGGCCGCAAGGUUGAA
This 525-nucleotide ribosomal RNA is filed under the name uncultured bacterium. Its description in RNAcentral is "partial 16S ribosomal RNA". It matches the Rfam family "Bacterial small subunit ribosomal RNA", at positions 355 to 898 of the family's 1533-position model. The record is from RNAcentral.